UACUCAUUUUAACUCUAUUCAACACGAGAACUGAGUGAAGCAAAAACAAAGGAAUCUAUUCUGUAUAAUUUUGAUAGGGCUUCAGGAUGACUGUGUCAUUGGUUGUGUUUAUCUUCAUCUGUAAAUGCAUCAGCAGCUGUAAGGUUUCCACUCUGUCUGUGCAUGACAGUAAUAUUUCAGGUCAAGUUCCACAGAUUUUGUAUCCGUCCAAUAACACUAUAGAAGCAUUGAUUGGCUCAAAACUAGAUAUAACUUGCACAGUAAUGGUCGACCUUCAUUCAAGGAUUGAAACAUUGGUGUACUGGCUAGCUAACCGCAGUUAUAUUGAAGACUACAGCAAAAACACUAGAGUUAAAGAAAUUCGCAGUGAAAGAAGAGAAAAAGAAGCAUAUUAUAUUGAUGCGCACCUGAAUUUUUCAGAGAUUAAAACAAAGGACUUUGAAAUAAAUUUUUUAUGUGUUGUCUUAAGUGAAGACAUUGAACGAGUAAGCUUCGUUUUCAUCAAGCCAGCUGUUUCAAAUGCUUCAUCAGAUUUUGCGGUUGGUCUGGCUGUGCUGAUUGGUAUCAUUAUAGUGAGUAUUUGCAUGUAUAAGUUUGUAAAAUCCAAGCAUCCACUGAGAUAUGCAAUCCUGAAGUGAACACUAUUGCAGCAACUUGAAACCACGCAAUGGAUUUCACUGGUGAAAUGUUGAAAUAUGUCGUGCAACCCUAUUUCCAGGAUUUUCUGUUUUCAGCAUGUUAAAUGAUCUAUUUUGUCUGACAUGUACCUGGAAUUUAAGUGCAUGUUUAGUAACCAAUUGCAUAAGCUUGUGAAGAUUAAUUUAUUUCUGAGGUUUUGUCUUUAAUUUUUAAAUUACAGGUUGAAUGUACUAUAUAUUACUUCUUGCUGCUUAACAUACAUAAUAUUCAUAAAUCUGUUCCUUUGAAGCAUCAGUCACCUUAAAAUGCCACCUUGACAUUCUUGUUAAAGCACUUGCUGCAUUAUGGCUGAGCAGAUAGCAAAACUUGAAUUUUAUGGAUUCUGAACACUCAAACUCAUGAAAAUUUCUAUUGGGAUCUCAUGAGAAAAUGGUCCCAAUGGUCACUUACUGCAAUUGUGCUUCUGUUCUUCGAAUUUUCUUCCUAUAAUUUCAUUAGGUGGUAAAUUAUGAGUUGGUAAUUAGGAAAUAGAAAAUCCAUGCUAUUACAUUGGUAAUUACAGCCAUUAUGCAUGCUGCAUUGUAACAGAAUGUUGAAGUAAUGCUAUGUUUUGAGAAAUUUUUUUUUCUGUUUUCACAUACUUUUGCAUUCUAUGUUGCUAUUUGACAUUAGUUACAGAAGUGAGAUUAUGCAUGUAUUCCCCUCAAUUGUCAUGAUUUUUACUUCAUGGACAUCAAAAUAAUAAGCCCUUACAAAAAGCACCAAGCUUAACAUGUUGUCAUUAUACUAUAUUAUUGUUUGGACUCAUUAAAAUGGAUACAUUAUUAGCUUUCAUUCCAUAUUUUGGUCCAAUAGUUGUUGAAACAGAUGUCUUCAAGUUUAUUAACUACUAACAUUGCUGUAAGAACUCAGGCUUAAACAUUAUCUGGGCUCUGUGCCUAUUGCUGUUAAUGCAACUACAGAUGUUGCCCCUGUUUUGAGAGACCAAUGCCAAGAAUUAAGUGUUGAUUUAAGGCCAAGACCCGUGGACAUAAAUCUUGGCUGGAAUUGAGUGGAGUAUUGAGCAAAUAUUACAUAUGAGAAGACCGAGAAGAUGGAUAGAAAAAUACCAGCUGGGUCAUCAACCAUAAACCAUUCAGGCUUAUAUUGCAAAUAAAUUAUGCCAUUAUUCUCAUAAGGUAUAAAUC
Molecule: RNA transcript, 1826 nt
Organism: Stegostoma tigrinum
Lineage: Eukaryota; Metazoa; Chordata; Chondrichthyes; Orectolobiformes; Stegostomatidae
Gene name: interleukin-1 receptor-like 2
Exons: 7
Source: RefSeq, a predicted model, not a curated record